Molecule: non-coding RNA, 4168 nt
Organism: Thamnophis sirtalis
Lineage: Eukaryota; Metazoa; Chordata; Lepidosauria; Squamata; Natricidae
Source: RefSeq, a predicted model, not a curated record
UUUGCGUGUUUAUGGAGCUGUGGACUGGGGUCCGCUCAUCGCCCCUGCGCGUCUCCCGUUCCCUGGGCAAUGCUGCAGCAGUUGCCGCCGCCGCCUCCCCCUCCUAAGAGGACGUGGGCUGUUCGGCAGAAACUGACCUGGGUGAAGGAGGAGGAGGAGGAGGAAGCGGAGCCUGUCCCCCGGCGGCCGGACCCAUUACUAUGGCCGUGUUCUGCUAUGCGCUCAACAGCCUAGUGAUCAUGAAGAAGAGCGGCGAGGGAGAGGAGAAGAGCGGGGGCUGCAGAGGAGGCAGGAGCAAGACCCCACCUGCCACGCGCAGACAAGGGCCGCCUGAAGUCGCCCGGGGAAACGAGAGGCAUAGCAGCUAUUGCCCUUUGCCUCUGAGCAGCAGCGGCAGUUCCAGCGGCUCCCCCACUGCAUUCCUCUUCCCUCCAGCCGAGUCGCCGCGAGCCACGGAGGAGACUCCAUUUCUCAAGUCCCCUCGAGAGCUCAGCAGCCCUAUCUGGACUAGCCCCCAGAGCCGGUCUCCUUCGCCCGGCUGGAAAGAGUCUUGCAGGUCGCCCCGGAUCCUCCAACGGGAGUUGCAGAAUGUGCAGGUGGUUGAGAAAGUGGGGCUAUUUGAAGCGCACAUCCAGGCGCACAGUUCGGGGGGCACCACUUUCCCCCUAAAGAGUCCCCGCCUGCCCAGGAGAAAGUCGUCUUCUUCCCCAAGCCAACCUUGCCCCUUGCAGCUGGUGCAGGAUACCCCGUCCAGGCAACGAGAGAUACAGGAGGGAAUCAAGGAGCUGGAUAAACUCUGGUACCGACUAGAAACCAGAGGGAAGGCGUUAGAGAAGGAGGCAGAGAAGGAUUCUGGGGACACCCAUCUAUUACAGGUGGUGGGCAAGGGAAAAUCCGAUGAGACAUCUCAGUCUACUGAGAAAGAAAAUGGACUCUUGGGAGAGCAGUGCCCAAAGGCCAAAGGAUUUGGAGCACAAGAUUCAGAAGUGGAGAGCAGAAGCCAAACUGGGUUGUGGAGUUCAGAUCCAAUGGAUAAAGGAUGUAUUUUGUUGAAAGGGCCCAAUUCUAACCAGAUGGGGAGGGUGAAUGGGAUUUCCAGACCACAGGAGUCCAGGCAGGCAGAAAGGGGUCUGUGGCCUAUUGGGAGGCAGGACUUUGAGGUGAGAAGUGAGCCUCUGGAAGAAAAAGACUCCAAAGAGAUGGAGAGCAGGAGAAGCUGUGAGGAAACUCAGGGCUCUGAUGAGAUGAGCAUCAUGAUGCAGCCAGGUGAAGGCGAGGUACAACUUUUGGAAGGGUCAAGCAAUGUGAGUAGUUGCUGUAAGAAUCAAAGCUUCAUAAAAACUGGGCUCUGGGGGAGGGACUUUUCUGGAGGGCAGGGCUCAGGAGCCAUAGAGAUGCCCCUUGGAGAGCCGCUCCCUCUAGGAGACCCGCCUUGCCUUGGGAGAACUGAUAACAAAGAGGGUAGCUGCAGCCUGUUCGCUUUGACAUUCUCUGAGAAGCAGUCCUUGUCUGAGAUUAUGGCUGAAGCCCAUGCUGUUGGGCUGCAGGGACAGCAGCUUCCCUCAGGGACCUCUGCAGGACUACCACAACCGAGGUGGUCCCUAGUGGAAGGCCGGGGAUGCUGUGGAGGUGCAAACAUUCCUGCUGUUAUUGUGACAGACCUGGAUGCUCAGGAAGAGGAAAAAACAGGAGCAGCUCCCCCAAAGGACAUGCCAAUCAGGAAGCUGUCUUCUUCCUCAGCUUCUUCCACUGGCUUUUCCUCAUCCUGGGAAGAGUCUGAAGAAGAUAUCUCCAGUGAUCCUGAGCGAUCCUUGGACCAGAGUCCAGCCUUCCUGCAGACCUUGGAUAAACCCAGAGUGAGCAAAUCGUGGCGGAAAAUCAAGAACAUGGUGCAUUGGUCCCCCUUUGUUAUGUCCUUUAAGAAGAAAUAUCCCUGGAUCCAAUUAGCAGGGCAUGCAGGUAGCUUCAAAGCUGCUGCAAAUGGGAGGAUAUUAAAGAAGCAUUGUGAGUCUGAACAGCGUUGUUUGGACCGUUUGAUGAAUGAUGUCCUUAAGCCUUAUGUUCCUGCCUAUCAUGGAGAUAUUGUGAAGGAUGGGGAGAGGUAUAAUCAGAUGGAAGAUCUCCUAGCUGAUUUUGAUUCUCCUUGUGUUAUGGACUGCAAGAUGGGAGUCAGGACCUAUGUGGAAGAGGAGUUAUCAAAGGCCAGAAAGAAGCCAAGUUUGCGGAAAGACAUGUAUCUGAAGAUGAUUGAAGUAGAUCCCGAGGCUCCGACUGAGGAAGAGAACUCUCAACAUGCAGUGACCAAGCCUCGGUACAUGCAGUGGAGAGAAACUAUAAGUUCUACAGCAACGUUAGGGUUCCGGAUUGAAGGAAUAAAGAAAGAAGAUGGCACCGUGAAUAGGGACUUCAAGAAGACUCGGACAAAGGAACAAGUCAUGGACGCCUUCAGAGAAUUUACUAAAGGAAACCAUAACAUUCUGAGCAGUUAUCUUAACCGGUUAAAGGGGAUACGUGAUACUUUGCAAACAUCACCAUUCUUCAUGACCCAUGAGGUAAUUGGGAGUUCCCUUCUCUUCAUCCAUGACAAGAGGGAGCAGGCCAAAGUAUGGAUGAUUGAUUUUGGGAAAACCACUCCACUUCCAGAGGGACAAGUUCUGCAGCACAAUGUGCCCUGGAUAGAGGGGAACAGAGAGGAUGGCUACCUCUGGGGGCUGGAUAAUCUAAUUGAGAUCCUAACAGAGUUGUCUCAACGUGAAGAUCUGCAUUAAAGCUAAUCCACAACCUAGUUCCUCCAACUGACUUUCUGAUCUGCACUACAAGACACUUUUCUUCCACCUUCUCUUCCAGUUCUAAAAUUUAAAAGUUCCUUUUCUUUUAUUUAAGGUGUAAAUAAAAUGUGAUGUUCCCAAAGAAACACUGAACAAGAAGUUAAAAAUUAGACAAAGCAGAUAGCAAUGUUGGCCUUAGGAGUUAGGUAUCCUGUAUCCUAAAACAGAAAAUACUUUUGUAUAUUAAAAAUGUGAUAAAGUUCUUAUAUGUUUGAGCACCAGAAAGAUAAUUCCCUAGACUUGUUUAAAUUGUAUCUCUAGAGUGAAGGAUGCAUUUGUAGUUAUCUGCUGCCCUCUCGUGUCCAAAGCUAGCAUUAUUUGGGGCAACUGAUGUUGAAAGCAUGUUUAUAUUGGGCAUUUUUUUAUAGGUGUUCUCUCUUCGUGGGAAUGUCCCACAAAAGGAAUGGUAGCAACUUAUAUUUACUAACUUUCCUAAAUAUAAGAAUUAGAAUAUAAUAGUUUAUAGGAAUAAUUAACAUCAGAUAAACUUUUCUACAUAAGGAAGUAAUUUCUUGUUGGCUUACUGUGCAAUAUAUACAUAGUUGUAGCAACUGCAAGAGUUUGCCUUUGCGGAUUACAUUACAUGGUGCAUCCGUUUAGCUACUGAAAUUAGUUUGGACUACUGAGAGCAAGGAUCUGAUCCCUUCUCUACCCUUCCAUUAGCAUGGGAUGACCUGGUCACGUGGCAGGAAAGGGGCUGCUGCAGAAUGACAAAGGCACUGACUGCCAUCCUCUGGGUGUCUUUUUGGUAGCACUGCAGUCCCUUUUGAAAAGGAUAAUGCAUUCUCAGGCUUCCUACGCUGUUUAAUAAUAGCCUAUGCUGAAAGUGCCUUAUGGACUAGUGUCUGUUCCACUCAGUGUCAUGAAAAAAAAAUUGUGGUUUUUUUUUAAAAGUACUAUUUAUUGCCAUACUUUUAGUUAUCUAGAACACUAAGUCUUAAUGCAUGGAAUUUUUUUAAAGGAUAAUGCUUGGCUUUUGAAAUCUCUCUCCGCAUUUAUGGAAAGGGGAAGACCAUGAAACAGUUUCAAGUCAUCCUAUUAUAAAAAUGUAUUUAGCUUUUAAAUUACUUCCAUUACAUGCUUUUUUUAAAAAAAAUAUGCUGGUUUGUUUGUAAAAUAAGAUUCUUUGCUUUUUGGCUUUUAAAGAAGUGAAAUAUUUCUCCAGAUAUCUUUUGGAUCUUUCUGGAGGCUGGAACUAUUGCUGUGAGGUAUUUCUCCUAACACUUUCCACCCCGUUCCCCUUGAUUAGCAAGGAGAUGAGGAACUUGCAGAGUUACAGAACAUCAUCAAUGCACAGUGCCUGUAAGUCAAACAACUUAAAAUAAAAACAUACAACAUGA